This 392-nucleotide ribosomal RNA is filed under the name uncultured bacterium. RNAcentral's name for it is "partial 16S ribosomal RNA". It matches the Rfam family "Bacterial small subunit ribosomal RNA", at positions 523 to 918 of the family's 1533-position model. The record is from RNAcentral.
CUACGGAGGAUCCGAGCGUUAUCCGGAUUUAUUGGGUUUAAAGGGUGCGCAGGCGGCCAUUUAAGUCAGCGGUUAAUUCGUGGGGCUCAACCCCAUUCUGCCGUUGAUACUGGGUGGCUUGAUUGCGGUCGAGGUUGGCGGAAUUCGUUGUGUAGCGGUGAAAUGCAUAGAUAUGACGAAGAACACCGAUUGCGUAGGCAGCUGACCAGACCGCAAAUGACGCUCAUGCACGAAAGUGCGGGGAUCGAACAGGAUUAGAUACCCUGGUAGUCCGCACAGUAAACGAUGAAUACUUGUUUUCGGCGAUAUAAUGUCGGAGGCAAAGCGAAAGCGAUAAGUAUUCCACCUGGGGAGUACGCCGGCAACGGUGAAACUCAAAGGAAUUGACGGGG